This 320-nucleotide long non-coding RNA is filed under the name Homo sapiens (human). RNAcentral describes it as "HSALNT0012026". The record is from RNAcentral. Lineage: Eukaryota; Metazoa; Chordata; Mammalia; Primates; Hominidae.
CCCAUCCCCAAAGGCACUGCAAAUACCUUAUCCCCAGUAUUUCCAGUAUUGGUAUCCUCCAAAGUUUAAUAGGAUAUGGCCGAAUAUUUCUUCCCUUGAGGUUUCUAACCCAAAACAAGUGCUCCCAAAUUAGCUUUGUCAACAGUUUCUUCUGUUCAAGUUGCAAACCACAAGAGAGGAAUGUCUGCGACAACGAGCUCCUGCACUGCCAGAACGGAGGGACGUGCCACAACAACGUGCGCUGCCUGUGCCCGGCCGCAUACACGGGCAUCCUCUGCGAGAAGCUGCGGUGCGAGGAGGCUGGCAGCUGCGGCUCCGAC